UACGUAGGGCGCAAGCGUUGUCCGGAAUUAUUGGGCGUAAAGAGCUCGUAGGCGGUUUGUCGCGUCUGCUGUGAAAACCUAAGGCUCAACCUUGGGCUUGCAGUGGGUACGGGCAGACUAGAGUGCGGGAGGGGUGACUGGAAUUCCUGGUGUAGCGGUGGAAUGCGCAGAUAUCAGGAGGAACACCGAUGGCGAAGGCAGGUCACUGGGCCGCAACUGACGCUGAGGAGCGAAAGCAUGGGGAGCGAACAGG
Molecule: ribosomal RNA, 253 nt
Filed under: uncultured bacterium
Lineage: Bacteria
Description: partial 16S ribosomal RNA
Rfam family: Bacterial small subunit ribosomal RNA
Source: RNAcentral